AUGUUUGUGAGUGAUGUCCUGAAAACCCAGAAGAUAAUUAGCCACACUCUUCACUGCUGUAAUAUCAGCAAAAUGAUACAAGUCCAAUUAAACCAAAGUAAAAUAAACUACUGAAAAACUGCAUAAACACCAUAAACUGGUCUUUCCAAACACAGAAAAAACAUCGCAGCUGCUGUGGUAAGUUAACUUCCUAGAUUACUGUAAUUUUUCUAUUGUUUAGAAAUUAUUGAAUGACAAAGGGUUGAUGCAGCCAAAUUCUUACAUAUAAUCUUAUCUCAGCCAAACUUAAAAAAAAAAAAAAAUUCUUGAAGGAAGGCCAACACUGACUUUCUAAAUUGUCUAUGCAAUGAUAUCUACAGAAAUAACACUGCAGGACUUAUGAAACUAGAAUUUUUUAUCGAAAGUACUUUAUUUCUUUUUUUUUUUGUAAUAUUGUUAAUAUGUGUAAUCAUU
This 453-nucleotide long non-coding RNA is filed under the name Numida meleagris (helmeted guineafowl). RNAcentral's name for it is "lncRNA (ENSNMEG00000006788.1)". The record is from RNAcentral. Lineage: Eukaryota; Metazoa; Chordata; Aves; Galliformes; Numididae.